GGUAAGCAGGAUCCACCCGAGUAGCGGGGACCGAAUCCCAUCUUUCUUAUCUCUCGAAGACUCCUUUCAGGCUGAGAUCAGAGAGGGAGGGAAAAAGAAGAGAGAAUCAUUGUUCUUCUUUUUUUAAUUUAAUAUACCAAGCCACCAGCUCAGUUAGAAGGCUUCAUUUGCUCUGAGUUAUCAUUGAGAACUAAAUGGAGAAGAAAAGAACUGAAGGCCUGAAGAUAUGUCAUCUGUAGAAAAGCCCCAUCCUUCUGCAGGUGGCCUCUUCUCAAGCUUUCUUGGCAAAUCAAGAGCUUCUGCCUUUUGGAGGACAUCCUCUUGACCUCCCACCCAUAUCAGCUCUUAGAGGACAUUCCACAGGAACAUUGCCUUCUUGUCCUCCAGUAUUUUUUAUGGAAACAGAAAUUAGGUUAUCUUCCUUAUGCUCUAGAUGGACAUCUGAAAUCAUCAAACCCUUGAGAGAAACAGCCCUCAUUCUUUUAUGAGACAACCUGGAAGAAAACAGGACUCUGAAGAUUUGUCUCCAUAUUCUCUGGAAAGAUGUACUCUGUUUGCAAUAAGAGGGAGCCACAUGGUUUAUUAGAUGGUUAUUAAUUGAGCAUUCUGUGCAAAGAAGUUUGUGCCUUAGUUAUAUUGAAAAGAAGAAAAUCUCUCCAGUUUCAGAAACACUGGCCUUUUGGAUACUGAGGAGUUGGAAAUGGAAAGGGGAUUUUAAUGAGUUUCUCGGCAAUGAGGCUAGAGAAAAUAUUAUCCAUCUCCCCCUGUUCUCCAAUUCAGCAGCUCGGACUCCUGUUUUCAUCACAGUCCUGUUAGAUAAUUACAGCCCCAAAGGCCUCCUGUUCCUUCUUUCUGUGUUCCCUGAAUCUUCUUUCCCAGAGCCAGGACCUCUUGGAAAUUCUCAGCCUCUGUUAGUUGCCCGCUCUGGGAGCCCGACUCCUCACAUCCGUCAUCUCUUUCUUCUCCCCCUUCACCUGCUGUAGUGUCCCCACUGUCUCUCUUUACCUCAGCUCCUUACCAUUCCUUUCCCUCUACACCCUUUUCCUUUGGUUCAUAGUCAGGAUGUGCUAGUUGCAUUCAAGCCCUUUUUGAUACUAAGAAUUCAGGGGGACAAAUCCAAACCCUGGAGACUACUGUCUUCCCCUUAGUGAUGCUAAUGAAUAUAAUUCCUGAUCUGAAAUUACCUGCACUUUAUUUGGCUCCAUCUACUUUUCUGCCACUUACUCCCUGUAUAACCAUAGGCUACGUACCCUACCUCUCUCUGGGUUUGUUUACUCCUCAGUUAAAAGGAGGAUUAAAAUGGCAAUCACAACACCUUGCUACAGAUAUGUUAGGAAGAUUAAAUGGGAUAACAUGCAGGGUGCCUAGCCUUCCUGGCAUAUAGUAAAUGCCUAUAAAAUAUAACAAGUGUCAUGUAUUAUUAUUAAAUUGUAUCUACCUGGUAGAAA
RNAcentral lists this long non-coding RNA (1448 nucleotides) under Homo sapiens (human). RNAcentral describes it as "long intergenic non-protein coding RNA 1210". Lineage: Eukaryota; Metazoa; Chordata; Mammalia; Primates; Hominidae. The record is from RNAcentral.